Molecule: ribosomal RNA, 495 nt
Filed under: uncultured bacterium
Lineage: Bacteria
Description: bacterial SSU rRNA
Rfam family: Bacterial small subunit ribosomal RNA
Source: RNAcentral
UCAUGGCUCAGAUUGAACGCUGGCGGAAUGCUUUACACAUGCAAGUCGAACGGCAGCACGGGCAACCGUGGUGGCGGAGUGGCGAACGGGUGAGUAAUACAUCGGAACGUGCCCAAUCGUGGGGGAUAACGUAGCGAAAGUUACGCUAAUACCGCAUACGAUCUACGGAUGAAAGCGGGGGAUCGCAAGACCUCGCGCGAGUGGAGCGGCCGAUGUCAGAUUAGGUAGUUGGUGGGGUAAACGGCUCACCAAGCCAACGAUCUGUAGCUGGUCUGAGAGGACGACCAGCCACACUGGAACUGAGACACGGUCCAGACUCCUACGGGAGGCAGCAGUGGGGAAUUUUGGACAAUGGGCGCAAGCCUGAUCCAGCCAUUCCGCGUGCAGGAUGAAGGCCUUCGGGUUGUAAACUGCUUUUGUACGGAACGAAACGGCGAGCUCUAAUACAGUUUGCUAAUGACGGUACCGUAAGAAUAAGCACCGGCUAACUACGUG